GACGAACGCUGGCGGCGUGCUUAACACAUGCAAGUCGAACGGAAAGGCCCCUUUGGGGGAACUCGGGGGGGAAAGGGGGGAGUAACAGGGGGGUAACCGCCCUUGACCUUGGGGUAAACUUAAGGAAACGGGGGCAAUUACCGAAAGGAAAUCUUGGUGCAAGGGGGGGGGUGGGAAAGUUUCGGCGGUUUUGGAUGGACUCGCGGCUUAUCAGCUUGUUGGUGGGGUAGUGGCUUACCAAGGCUUUGACGGGUAGCCGGCCUGAGAGGGCGACCGGCCACAUUGGGACUGAGAUACGGCCCAGACUCCUACGGGAGGCAGCAGUGGGGAAUAUUGCACAAUGGGCGGAAGCCUGAUGCAGCAACGCCGCGUGCGGGAUGACGGCCUUCGGGUUGUAAACCGCUUUCAGCAGGGGCGAAGCUUGUGGUGACGGUACCUGCAGAAGAAGCACCGGCUAACUACGUG
This 465-nucleotide ribosomal RNA is filed under the name uncultured bacterium. RNAcentral's name for it is "partial 16S ribosomal RNA". It matches the Rfam family "Bacterial small subunit ribosomal RNA", at positions 28 to 507 of the family's 1533-position model. The record is from RNAcentral.